Molecule: transfer RNA, 70 nt
Filed under: Camelus bactrianus (Bactrian camel)
Lineage: Eukaryota; Metazoa; Chordata; Mammalia; Artiodactyla; Camelidae
Also listed under: 1 other name
Rfam family: tRNA
About the family: Transfer RNA (tRNA) molecules are approximately 80 nucleotides in length.
Source: Rfam by way of RNAcentral
GGGGGUAUAGCUCAGCGGUAGAGGGCAUGUCAGCAGGCACGAGGUCCUGGGUUCAAUCCCAGUACCACCA